Molecule: long non-coding RNA, 397 nt
Organism: Cajanus cajan (pigeon pea)
Lineage: Eukaryota; Viridiplantae; Streptophyta; Magnoliopsida; Fabales; Fabaceae
Source: RefSeq, a predicted model, not a curated record
GUGAAGGCUGAUUCCCCUGUUGCACAAGCUCGCAGUUUCACCAAGAACUGAUCAAUUGCUUCAGCUGUCUCUGGAGUCACUUUCUAGAAGGGCCUGAAGUUCAUCAGCUGCUCUACGUACUCUGAUUGCUAGCUAGCGGGAUUUGGGCAUGUGCAAAAUGGCUGCACCCAUAUCGGCACCAUAGCAUUGCUAGAGUAACAAACAAUUAUCCUCUGAAUGAUGCUGUAGAGACUGUUGGUGAAAUUGGAUCGUGAAUUGGACGAGCUAUGGGAGGAACAAGUGGGAUCAUGUAUUCUUCCAUUGUUAUGUAUUCCAUAAACUAUAGUAUUUAUGUUAUCUGAUUAUUAUCACUUUCACACUUGAUUGUAUAUUUUUUUUUCCAGAUAUACAAUUUUAU